This is a long non-coding RNA of Antechinus flavipes (yellow-footed antechinus), 1095 nucleotides long. RefSeq lists it as uncharacterized. Lineage: Eukaryota; Metazoa; Chordata; Mammalia; Dasyuromorphia; Dasyuridae. The transcript has 4 exons. The record is from RefSeq and is a predicted model, not a curated record.
AGGAGUAGAAAGAUACUUGAAAUAAUUAUCUGAUGUAAGAAUAAGAAAAUAUUCAUAAAUUAUACAUUUUUUAAAAUUGAGGGGAGGGGGGAAUCUGCUUAUUAUAGCAAUGUGAAUGAUGAUACUGAGUUAGUCAACCCAGAAAAAUAUAGAAUGUAAAUUACUUGAGGACAAGAACUGUCUUUACUUUUGGACUAGCAUUCUCAACAUUCAGUACAGUAGUUGGCAUUAUAGUAAGCACUUAAUAAAUGUGUUUUUAUUCAUUCACUUGCUUAAGUGGAAAUCAGUAGUAUGAGGAAAGGCUAGAAAGCUCAAUGGUUCUCGAUGGUAUAGGCCUUGAGUAAUGUCACAAAGAAUUGUUAGCACACAGAAUACAAAAAAGCUAUCAGAACUGGAAAGGAAUUAGAAUGUAGAAUGUCAGAGCAAGAAGGUUCUUAAGAGCAUGGAAGGUUAGACAUAGAGUGGACCUCACCUGUCCAAGCAUCUUAUCUACCAGGUGGAACCAGAGCCCAUGUUAUUCAACUCCCUGCCCAAGAUGCUUUACCACACCAUACGACCGACCUCCUUCCUUCCAGGGUGACCAUUUAAGAUGGCAAUAAAAGAACAAGAUUUCAUAAGGCCAAGUCAAUCGUAUGAACUACACCAAGAAAAACAAACUAUGAGCUGAAUUCUCUUCCAAAGAAGUCCUUCAUGUGCCAUUAAAACAGGAAGAAUCCUUAAGAGCCCAGGGAGGUCAUCUGGAUCAGCAAAACUUCCAACUCCAACACAAAGCGCAGCCGCGGACUAGAGUGAGAAGGAUACAUGCCAACAGGUUCCCGCUCCUCCUCUUAAUUAUCAUCAAGAAAAGGAAUGUGGAGAAGAUGCAAUGAAAAAGGGAAAAAUUAAGAAGAAAAUAAGGGAAAAAAUAGAAGAAAAAAAAGGCUCAUAAGAUUAGUGAGAUUCAGAAAUGAGAGGAACCAUCAUUUCAAGAUGGCAUCUAAGUCAUAUAGAAAGGGCAGCCAGGUUCUGAACCUGAGUUCCCUGACUCUAAAAUGGAACUCGUUUGUCCGCUGUCCUAAAGCUGCCUCCCAAAGUAAAGAUAAAAUAUGAAACAGC